Lagopus leucura (white-tailed ptarmigan) is the source of this 368-nucleotide long non-coding RNA. RefSeq lists it as uncharacterized. The transcript is spliced from 3 exons. The record is from RefSeq and is a predicted model, not a curated record. NCBI's taxonomy places the organism in Eukaryota, Metazoa, Chordata, Aves, Galliformes, Phasianidae.
GCAUGGGGCAGAGGUGGACUUUUACACAACAGGUGUGAAAUCCCCGGGCAAAUCUGAAGUGUUGCUAUCUGGGAGUGGUGUCUGGUAUGUGGGUGCUCAGGAUGACCAUCAGAUCUGAUCAUUUAUGCUAGUUCUUCCCAACAGCCAUGUGGUGGGUAGUCCUGGACACCUGGCAUCUCUUAUGCCUCAGUUCUUCAACCACAUCCAGAGGAGUCCAAACGAAUGAAAAUAUCUGAGAGCAGCUGCUCAGAAGAGGAAGAGCAUCAUGCUGAUUCAAAGUGUGUCAAUUUGGGCAUCCUUUUCUGCCACUCCGACUUCCAAAAUCAAAUUGUUACAAUCAAGAUGCAGAACAAGGAUCCUAUCAGGGG